RNAcentral lists this ribosomal RNA (252 nucleotides) under uncultured bacterium. RNAcentral describes it as "partial 16S ribosomal RNA". It matches the Rfam family "Bacterial small subunit ribosomal RNA", at positions 524 to 776 of the family's 1533-position model. The record is from RNAcentral.
UACGAAGGGUGCAGCGUUACUCGGAAUUACUGGGCGUAAAGCGUGCGUAGGGGGUGAGUUAAGUCUGUCGUGAAAGCCCCGGGCUCAACCUGGGAAUGGCGAUGGAUACUGGCUCGCUAGAGUGCGGUAGAGGAGAGUGGAAUUCCCGGUGUAGCAGUGAAAUGCGUAGAGAUCGGGAGGAACAUCAGUUGCGAAGGCGGCUCUCUGGACCAGCACUGACACUGAGGCACGAAAGCGUGGGGAGCAAACAGG